Long non-coding RNA from Etheostoma cragini (Arkansas darter), 82 nucleotides. RefSeq lists it as uncharacterized. The record is from RefSeq and is a predicted model, not a curated record. The transcript is spliced from 3 exons. Lineage: Eukaryota; Metazoa; Chordata; Actinopteri; Perciformes; Percidae.
GUUGGAGUUGCAGCAAAGAAAGAUGCAAGCGAAGCCAAUCGGUCCGUUGUGGCAACGCUGCUGAAUAUCCAGAAGUUAAAGC